UCCACUCCUUUCUUUCUCUCCUCUCUCUCUCUAUUAUAUAAACACUCCCACCUUUCUCUUUCUCCGCUGCCAAACCUUCCAUUCCUUUUUCUCACUUACUAUUCUUUCUUUCUUUCUUUCUUUCAAAACCCUACUUUCUUCUCUCUCUUUUUUUUGGAAGCUACCAAUGGCCGCCGUCUCUAAGGUUUCUUUCAUGGCUCUUGUUGCCGUUUUGUUCGCCGUCCUCUCCGUUGCUGUUGCACAAUCUGCAGAGUCUCCUGCUCCCCCUCCGGCUUCUCCGGCUAACUCUGUCGUUCCUUCCUUGAGCUUUGCUUGUGUUGGUGCUUUCCUUGCUCUUCUCUUUGGAUCUGCACUCAAGGCUUGAAUCUCACAUUCAUGAUACUUCUUCCUACGCGUUUUGUGAUUUUACCCAUGGAUUCGGUUACUGAUGAUACUCCAUUAUUGAGGGUUUUAUUGACUAUAUUAUUGAGUGUAUAGGACAUGGUUUUCGACGAUGUCAAGAUUUAGCUUUUAUUAGAUAUUGGUGGUUUGUAUUCAUGUAUUAUUAUCAUUAUUAUUAUUCAUUGUGUGUUAUUUCUCAUUAUUAAUAUUGUUCUUUUUAUAUCUCCACAUUAUUUGAGUAAAUAAAUUAUUUCAGUUUUCUAAACUCUCUGUUUCGUGAGAUUGAUUGAUCAACAUCUCUAUUCUCUCUUCACUCCAAAUUGUUUAUAAACUGUAUCAAUACUUGUGUAUAAUCGGGAAGCGGAAAUGAAGCUAGAGAGAUUCCGUCUUCACUUCCUAAACCAUUCCGUCCAAACAAGAUUUUAACUUCACAGUUCAAAAUUUGAAAUUCCAACAAAAACAACCAUCGGGAUGGCUGUGUUUGGUAAUACUAGAAAUAUGUGUAUCAUUUAUCUUCUUCGUAUUAUUAAAUAUUAUAGAGGUGUGAGGUGUAAUUAGCGUCAUAAUUAAACUACUAAUGAUGAAUGGAGUCCAAAUCCACCAUCGUCAAAACUAGAAUUAAAUGCCUCAAUUAGUGAAAGGUGAUGGGUUUUGUCUGGUAUACUCUCAUUGUCAUCUCAUUUCAAAUGGCUCUCUCAUUUAGGUUAUCAAAGAUAUAAUAACAAAGGAAAAAACUUGUAAAUUAAUGGUGGCUUGGUUAGAGAAACACCAUCCAUAGUUGAUUCAGACUCCAACGCACAUAAGGUGGUGAAAUUAAGGGAGAAUAGAGGAUGGAAGAAUUUGUGAGAAAAGAAAGGGUGCGUGGCGAAGUGUAAAUGGUGGAGAGGGACGGCCUGGCCAUGUGGGUAUAGGGAUACGCAAUAUCUCGUGUGAGAGAAGUAUCCAACUAAAUGAUGCCACGUAUCAGUGAUAUUUUAAAAGAAUCACGCGGUUUGUCUGAGAGCAUAAUACCCAAAUUAGGGUGUGUGAAUACGAACAUGAACAUGAACAUGAUCAACAAUAAUAAUAUAAUAGAUCUUAUGGGUUUGUGCAAUCCACGCCUAUGAGAUUAUUAUAUUUGUAUCUUUUCCAAUUUUCGAGAACUCCAUUCUCCAUUCUUUUUUUUUUCUUUUUUUUUCUUUUUAAUUUUUUAAAAUUUUUCGUAUGUAUCUUUCUUUUUGUGCGAUUUUGAACCAUCGUCUUUGACUUCAACAUAAUGCAUUAGUAAAGACAAAUAUAUGGUUUUGAGAAUGUGACUCUCCAAUUUUGGAAUUCUUUUGCUAAUACUGAAUGUUGCUGUUAAUAUGUAUUGAUGUAAAGUCCCAAGUGUUUAUUUUUCCAUGACAGUGCUGAAAUUAACAUAACUUAAUUCUCAUCUUGAGUGAUACAAUAUUACAAUAUUAAAUUAAUUUAAGAUAAUUGAAAUAGUGUUUGUAGUAUUGGUAUGGUAGAAAGAAAAAACCUUUGAAAUUAAACAAUUCAACUGGUUCUUUUUUCUUUAAAGACAGGUCAGGUCAGACUGUUCUCAAACUUUUCUUGAAUUUGAUUCCAAAACCUCAAUGACCAAUUCAGAAUUGAGAAUCCAUUGGAAAAAUUUGCUAUCAGAGUACCCACUCAACCAAUCUCCCACCCCUCACCCAAACUUCUUCCAAAAAACAAAGGAUAAAGGGAGAUUCAUCACAUUAUCGAAAACCCCCAGAUAUCUUCAAACUCCACUCUUCUCUAUCUUCAAAUUUCGAAAGUAAAAAAAAACCAUGUUUGUUAGAUUAUCUUAUUUAAUUUGCAUAUUACCCUGACCUCCCCCCUCCCCAUAAAAACCGUGAAAACAAACAGCAUUUUCAAGAGGAUGAAUGAAAUAGAAUGAAUAAAUAAAUCAAGAGAGGAAAGGAACAAAGAAAAAAAAUUGCCUACUUUCUCUGCUCUGCCCCUUCAAUCUACUAACCAUUUUUUAAAAAAAGGGAAUCCAUAGAGUUUGUACAUUUUAUGGUGAAUCCUCACUCAUUUCACUCUGAAUCCGACUCCAUGUUACCCAUUGCCUUCAAUCCUCUCGGUCUCUGCCAUCAAAUUUAUAAUCAAACCAUUAAUCACAACUCUCCAUUGAUUAACACAUUCAUCGAUUUCAUAUCAUUAGCUCGAGAUACUCACCUUCUUAGAAAUCUUCUUUUCCCGAACUUCAUACCGCUCGAGAGUCAGAUCUGAUAGCCAUGCCCCCGGACUCACCAGCUGCAGCAAACCAUUUCAAAAUGUUCAAACCCCAUGGAAUAAAGCAAAAGGCACCCAUAUUCAACAAUAUACAAUGCAUAAUCAGGUGAGGUAAUAAUUGUUAGGAGGUGGGUAUUCAUCAGCCAACAGCUUUGGGGCCCAAUCUAAAAAAAGCACUUUCUUUACAAAAAGAGCUAAGGGUCCCAUUUGUCACUGAUAACAUACCAAUCACCACCCUACACAUGGCUGAGCAUCAAAUGGCAUCCGAUGCAACCUCCCUUUCUAAUCGUACCAUCUCUCUUUAUUGUUCUCUUAAUUACAAUUCAUACCGUUUAACUAAUCCCACACCCUCCUCCCCCAAGUAAUUACUCUACUAAACCCCUUUUUAAAAUUUCAACACUUAUUUGUUUUAAGCCUAAUUUAAAAACAUUUAUAUAGCUAAUGAGUUUACUUUACUAUUUGAUACUGUACCGAAGUCAUCGAACAAACCUUAUCUUUAUUCUUUAAACAAGGACUUGGUUUAACUUCCUUAGUCGGUUUCAGAUUUUUUUUUUUUGUAUCAUCUUCCAUUUUCACUUUAAGUAAAGAAAACCCCUAAAGGAAUUUAUUUGUUUAUUAACUUUUUUGUUUCUAACCCUAGAAAAUUAUAGGUUUGAGAAUGCCGAGAAGACAAGGGAGUAUGAUACAAACAGCACAGCAGCCAACCUGCAAAAAAUAACCGUACACCGUGUCCUAUCCUAUACAAGAACGUGAAUCAAACGCAGCCCGUGAAAGCUGCAGUGUUGUUUUCUUAUAUGAAUAAAUUUAUUUAUUUUCUCAUAAUUUUUAUGUUAAAAAUAAAAAUAAAUAAAUAAACCCUUUUGAAAAUUUCCUAUGGCUACACAAAAAGAUAAAUGAAUUAAUAGUUAAAAGAGGAUGAGAUUAAGGGGGGGUGGGGGGCUUACGUUGACGGUGCGUUGGAUAAUCUUGGCACGUUUCUUGGGUCUUUGUGGCAAUUUAGAGCCUUUGAUGGCUAAGAAAUCCUCUUCUUUCUCUUUGUUCGUCAAAGCAAUAGCGAAUUUUGGCGGCCAUACUUGAGGCAGAGCAGCUUCCCCACUCCCACCGGAGGAAGACCCACCUUUUUUACUAUCGUGCGCCGUCUCCGAUGUAGUCCCCGAUUUAUUGUUAUUCUCAUUGUGAUGAUGAUGAUGGCUGUUGUUAUUGUUGUUGGAAUGAUGAUGGUGGUUAUUACUUCCUCCUCUUCUAUCGUGCGCCACUCUGUCUGGCGACGCAAUUCCCCUAACCCCACCGUUGCCGUGCCCUCUCAUCGCCCCCGCCGUCUCGGAGUUCCUAUUUAUUAAAAACAAAAAAACAAAAAACAAAAAACAAAAACAAAAAAAAAAGGAAAAGACGUUUUUAUGUAAGAGUAAUAUGAAAAUAAAUAAAUAAAAGUAGUAAAAAGAAACUAGAUUUAGAGAGGAAGGAAGUCAAAUUCCGAAAUUGACCUUUGAGGGGAAGGAUCUUUAAGAUCGGUGAGACAAGUAUAGCGAAUGUGGGGGAGAUGGUGAUUUUUGGGUUUCCCUUUGGAUUUGGUUUUUCUUCAAUUUUCUUUUCUCUUUUAAUUUCAAAAUAAUAUCAAAUAAAAAGUAAGAACAUAGAUGUGGGUUGUUCAUAGCCGUCCGAUUAACAUAAUUCCCUUCACCAUCGUUAAGAUUACGUGUGACGACGACGUGAAGGUCUAUUGUGACUGUACACACUCGUGGGUCCACCACACACUCUUUUCCCUAAUCCCAAAUUAGUGAUCACACGGCUCUCAUUCCUCCACACAAAAAAGCUUAUCACUAAAAUCAUUUCCAUUAUUCACAAUCAUGUGCUUAAGAUUAACAUCUUAACAUCGUCAUCGUCAUACCAUAAAAUUUAAAAUUUGGAAUAAAUACCUGAGAAUGCGGUGGUGAGGAGGGGGCAGUUGAGGAGAAGAUGGUCGUUGGCGGAGAUUCAGAUACCCAUUGGCAGGAGGACCAUGGGUCCGGUUCGGGGAGUCUUUAUCGGUUCUAACGACUCGGCGGUCGACUCGGGCGGUGGUGGUACGGUGAGCCGGAGUGGCGGGGUCGGUUUUAUCUCUGCCUUGGACCUUCAUGCAUCUAAGGCGCUUCCGGUUUCCCCACUGCAAAACAAAGUCCGAUGAUGGUGUGGUUGUUUGUCUUGUAGCAUCGGAAUUGGAUCUCAGUACGUCCACUCCGCUUCUCCCCGAUGUGUCCACUUUGUUAUUGGCGGUGCCGUUGCUAUUAUUAUUAUUAUUGGUUCUUAUGGUAUCCCUUUCCAUCAGGCUUUUAAAUAUAACUGUAAUGUGGAAUGGACGGCUAACCCAAGUUAGUUGAGGUAAUCAACCAUGGUUAAAUCUCCAUAAAGUAAAACAAAGAAAGAGGGAAAAUGGAGGAAUUGUGUUGGAUUUUGCAAUCAACCCCCCACAUGGCCUAAUUAGCGAAAACAGGUAAACAAAGAUGAACCUUCUCCAGCUAUUUCCGAGUUCAGAUAAACUCAUAAUCGCGAGAGCUUGUGAGGGAUUUAAUUAUGCAAGAUCAAGGUCAGAAAAAACUUUUCAUUACAAGAAGGAAAAUGAGGAGGUUUUUUCUUUUCGAUUUGAUAUUAGAUCUAAACCCAGAAAUCCAAUGAUAGGUAAUGCAUUCACAAAAUCAAAAAAGAUAAGAGCAUCUGGGAAAAUUCGUCUGCUGAUUGCGAAUCUGAACAACAAAUCAAACUCGCAUCUUUCCAUCAUAGAAAGAAAUCCAAUUGAGAGGAAAAUCCUGUCCGUGAACAUUUUUGGAGAUGGAAAUUUCUGAAGCCAUACACAGAGGAAAGGUUUUCAUUUUCUCCAUCAACAUAUGAAUUUUAAAAAUUUAAUAAAAACUCUCUGAUUCUUCGAAAUGAAGAAGAGAUGAACAAUGGAAGGAGUAGGAUAGUCUCUUUAGAGAGAGUAGAAAAUGGAGGUGAAUAAAAUUUGAUGCAUUACCUGAAAAACCUGAACUGAAGCAAACAAAAACCAGUGCGCAAAAUCAAAAGGGAAGCGUAGGAAGGCGACUGAUGCCAUGAGAUGAAGAAUAACGAAGAAUCAAAAUAAUCCCCUCUGCCCCAAACCACCGAAUGGAGGAAAAAACGAAAGAAGCCACAGUACAAAAAACAACUGCACAUCAAACUCUCGAACUAAAUCUCAAAAACCCAGUUGAAUAUAUACGAUCUACGAUUCAGGAUAAUUUUCUUUACCUGUGAUUCAAAGAAAUUCCCAACCAGAUGGUCGCUUCUUUUACUCUUCAGACUAAGCGAAAAUGCGAAUCAGAAACCAAAUUGCAACGACGGAGUUCCAUCGCUCAGAGUUCUCUUCUUCGACUAUCGAACAACAGCCCUGUUUCCACCAUCUCCAAUCUUUCCAACAGUUUGGAUUUUCUUCAGACAAACUAAAAAAUCCGUUUAAAAAAAUGCAUCUGAAAUGAACAAACAGAUUACAGAAAAUCAAUAAACGGAGUCAUUCCACAACCAAAAACACAAAUAACUAACAACCCAGUGAAAGGAAUUUCUCACAAAUUUGCAAGCCUCUGUAAACUUCAAGACGUCCCCCAGAUGAUUACAAAUGAAAAGGAAUCGAUUGGGUAAAUAAGAGAGCAAAAUUCGCUUGUAAAUCAAAUCCACUCCGAAUUUGUUCAACUAGAAAUUCCCAAAUGUAUUCGUGAAAAAACAAAAACAAAAACAGUCACGCCUGUUUAAUUAUUUCUUUAAACAGAUCAAUUCCAAAAGACGGAGAAAAAUUGAAGCAAGGAGCGAAAUUGUUCGACCCACAAGCUUGUUUACAAAUGAGAGAUCCUCAGCAUUCCAGACUAGAAUUGAGAACACUAAACUUCGUUCCGAUUAGAGAACAAUAACAAGGAAAAAACAAAACAGAAGAGAAUUUGAAAGAACGCCAGAAGAACUGGAGAGAGCUUUCUUCUUCCUUCUCCUUCUCCUUCUCCUUCUUCUUCUUCUUCGUUUCUUGUUCUUCUUCUUCGUCCCUCCUUUUCAACAAAUACAAAACACACCCUAUGAAACGGAAUUUUAUACCCUCAUUACAGAUUGAAUCGCACACUUGCUUUCUCCGCCGUUCAUCAUACAUCAAACGACUAUCCUUUCAUCUCACCAUCCUUCUCUCUCAGUGCCCGCGUUACGGCGUCGUAUCAUGUUUUGGUUUUCCUAACCCUUUUUUGUUUUCCUUUCUCACGGCCUUUAUUGACGUCAAACGGAAUCUUCAACGCCGUCAAGUUUUUUAUUAUUAUUUUCGCGGGGGGGAAAUUAAAUGUGGUUUCCUUUGUUUCGGUUGGGUGCGACGGCCCAUUUGGGUGAGACCAAUGGGUUGGGUUUGGGUCCGCUUUCGAACGUUAACCGUGGUUAAUUAUGUAACCACGGUGGAUGAGUGAAAAAGGAGAUGGUAUCCACUGUGACCCUCCCUAUUAUCCUAUCUAUGUGCUGGAGAUAUCUAUUUAAGAUUUAACAUAUUUUCCUAUUUAAAUUCAAUUUCUUUACCUUUUCUUUUUCUUAAUUUCUAAUUUUAAAAAAAUUACAAGAUGUUUACUGCAAUAUGUGGAGAAGUAGUAGUUUAUAAACUUCAACAAUAUUGGCUUACUUUGGUUUUUACUAUUUUAUUAUUAUUGGUAUUCUAAAUUCAAAUAGAAAAUAUCUGUUUCACCAACUCUAACAAAAAUGUAUUGGAUUUUAAGUUACAUUGUUCUUUACUAUUAAUUUAGUCAUUUUGUGUAUAUACCAAUAUUCGAAACUAGGAGUAGAAACGUUGAUCCAAGGUCUUUUUCUUUUUUUUUUUCAUUAGAAGAAGCUUGCAAUAUUAAAAUAGGUUUUUAUAUUAUAUAGUAAUACUUACGUGCAUUUAUCUUCACCAUUCACAUAUGAAACAUAUUCAAAUAUUCUAUAAAUAAAUAAAUAAAAUCAAACCGUAUUGUAACGAGUUAUUAUUUUACAAUUUGAUGAGAUGCAUAAAGAUAGGUGAUGCUCAAGAUGCGCCCAAAUAUAUAUAUAUCUUUUAUAUACACAAUUUUCUUAUUUUAAAUUUUGGCAUGAUCCAUAGGACAAGUUGUAUGUUGAAAAAUGUUUAGCUUGACCCGGAAAAAAAUUUCUUCCAAAAAGUCAUUUAUUUUUAAGCAUUACAUAUAUAUAUAUAUAUAUAUAUAUAUAUAUAUAUAUAUAUAUAUAUAUAUAAAAAAAAAGAAUGGUGAUGUCUUUAGUUACAUUUUCUCAAAAUAGUAUUUUUAUACCAAGCUUUUUUUAAAAUUUAUUGUACACUUAAAAUAAUAAUGUGAAAGAAGACUAAAUAUUGAAGACUAUGAAUUGGACACUUAAAUGAGUUAGGAAGUUUAAAGUAACUCUUACCUCCAUUUUCUUUAACAUAUUUGGUGGUCGUAUUUAAAAAUAUUAUAUAGACUAAAGUUUCACAUUUUAAAAUCUUUUAAAUGAAUUUUUUAUAUAUAUAAAAAAAAAAGUUAUAAUUUUUAACUAUUUAGUUUACUAUCUUACUUCAUGUUUAUUAUGAUUGUCUCAUUUUCAUAAUUGAAAAACAUAUAUCAUUUGAUUAAUUAUAUUUAAAUUAAAAUGAGUCAACAAAUUAUGUCUUUUUAACAAGAAUGACGUAACGUUAUAUUUUAAUUCAAAAACAUUUACGAAAAAAUGUGAUAAUGAAUUAAUUCAUCUUUUUUUUAGAAAUGUUUGUACGAUUUGGCUUAUUUUGAUUUGCUUUGGAUCUUUGUUGGAGUUUAAAGCAUGCUUGUAGUUUUUGAAGAUUGUAAUUUUAAGUCACGGUUGGUGCAUCCAUGGAGAGGCAUUUUUUCUUUUGUUUAGGAUAGUUAAUGUUUUUUUUUUAUUAGUAACGAGUGAUAUUGUUUGAUUUUGAUAUGUAACAUUGGUUCUAAUUGCUUGGGGUUGGUAUUGAGGAAACCCUAAAGGGCUAUUCUCUAUUUAGACUUUGUCUUCAUUUAUAUGUACUUUAUUUUUUUUGGUAAAUUUUUUUACAUUAUUCAUUUUUCCUUUAUGUCUUGUUGAUUUGUGUCUUAGCUUUAAGGUCAUUUUUCCUUUUCAGCAGUCCAAUACAAUUGGAGGAAAAAAAUUAGAUAAAAGAGAUAAAUUUUGUCUUAUAUCUCAUUUCUAUCUUUUUUUUUUUUCUUUAUUUUGUUUCAAGAGUUAUACCAAGACUGUGGUAGAUAUUUGAAUUUCGACAUAUUGGUUGACUUAGUUGACUCAAGGAACAAUUUGUUGCGCGAGUACACGAUGCUUGAUAUAUUACUCAAUUUUGACAUCAACAUUUCAUCUCAAAUCACUUAGAAUCACACAUCAACAAUAUACAUAUGUCUUAAUUGAAUUGAACUAUGUUAUCGAUGAAAUUGUUUUUAGCAUUUAAGUAUAUAUUUUUAUUUUUUUAGUAUAAUAGCUUCAAAAUAGAAUAGUAUUUCUCACUUUACUAUUUAAUUGCUACAACUUUAAUUAGUAUCUUAAAUUCUCCUCUUUAUAUUACAUUAUAGAAUGUUUACUAUUUUAUCAAAUUAAAAUUAUUUUACACUACAAAUACAUGUUAUUAAUUAUAAUCCAAAGUAAAAUGAUUCACACCUCAAAUUACAAACUAUCAUAGCUCAACUAUAAUAACUUAAGAUGAUAACAAUCUCCCUUGCUCCAAACACUCCAAAAAUAUUAUAAGAAGAUUAUAGGUAGUUUAGAAAUUCUAGAAGGAGAUUAUCAACCAUGUAUAAUACUCAUAUUUAUAAUUGAUGAGGAUGAGAUCUCAACCGUCCAAAGUUUGUUGUCAUUUUUCUAUUAAUUCGACAUCACCAAUCCAUCCCAUUUAGCUUGUCAUGUGAGGAUUUUUUUUUUGUGUGAGUAAUGAGAAAAAGAUGUACAAAGAUGAUUAUUGUUUCGAGUGCACCAAAGAUCAAGUAUUACUUUUCCUCUAACAAGAGUAUAUUAAUUUAAACUAUCCGUACUAACGAUUUACAUCCUCUCAAAAUCACUAAAUUUUCUUCCUAAACCAACCAAUUCAAACAUUUGAUUAUAACAACUUUCAACAUCCUAGCAUGUAUUACAAUUAGAAGAUAUGAAAGUUUAGAAUAUUAUAUCAGUAAUCAUUAUGUAUUUAUAUUUUCCUUAAUUCUUCCAUAUUUCUCCCUCACAUACAUCAAAUUUUGCUAUGCUUCUUUCUAACUUUGUUUUAUGAUAUAACUUUCUGACCCAAAAUAUAUAUUUACUACAAACAAAAUCAAUUUUAUUUCAACAUCUUUCCCUAAUAACAGCCGGUAGCCUUGAACUACUACUUCCCGGCCACAGUCAUGGCCUGACCGACGACGGAGAAAAUGGCAAAAUGACAUUAUUAAUCACUUUAGUUUGGUGUUCAUUGUUUUGGGGUUUGUAAGAAGUGGCAAACGACGGUGCAGUCGUCUUGUUUUGAAGAAGGCCAGCGUUUCCAAGCCUCUGUCGCCGCAUCCACCACCGCUUUCGCCGCCGCUUCUUCACUCUCCGCCGCCCAAACGAUGGACGCUACUUCGUCGUUGCUCAGCACAUCCCAUAUCUGAGAAUAAUCGAAAAACCCCACAUCUCAAAAUUACUAAAUUUGCUAAUUAAUUUGAUUUUUUUUAAAAUCUACGGAAUGAAAUAUGUUUCUCUCUUUUUCUUGCUUUAAAUGAAUAAAGUAGUUAUUUAUUGCAUUUAAAAAUCAAAGUCAACAAUUUUUUUGAACAUAAUAGGAGAUGAAGUAAAUUAAAACCAUGGGAAUCUUGGAGAACUAUCGAAAAAAAAAAGAAAAGAGAAGAGAGGAUUACCCCAUCAGUGGCGAGAACGAUGAAGCGAUCGAGAGAAGUGAGAGGGCGGAAGGAGACAUCAGGGAGAUUAAUAAUGCCAUAAUCUUUAAGAGCAAAAUCACCAAAAGCUCUUGACAUAGCCAGCCCCGGUGAGUCUUCGUUGGGGAGCCACACUCUUUGUAUAUGAGCUUCGUCUUUCAGCGCCAAGACUCUCCCUUUACAUCUUCUUAUUCGCUCACCCUCACUCUCCAAUCCAGGCUUUAAAUCUGUAGUUAACUGAACGGCUUUGAUUCCUCCAUCCUCCCUCAUCCUCCCCAUCACCGCCCUUGAAUCUCCCAAAUUCCCAAUCACCAAAUAAUCUUCCUGUUUUCAACAUAUCAUUCAUUAUCAUCUCCCCUUUAAUUUGUUUUUUAAAAAACGAGAAGAAGAAAAGAAAAAAAAUGAAAACAUUAUUAUGUAACAGGAUCUUAAUCAUUACCUGUUUGACCAUAACAACAGCGGUUGAUCCACUGCAAGAGCCAUCCAAAUUCUCUUGGAGUUUGAUCUCUUUAUCCAUAACCUUGAAGGAAGUUUCAAAAGCUUCUUUCCAUGCAUUGAAACUCUUCCUCUUCACCAAGCUUGACUUAGCAGUUACCUCCCCAAGCAAUAAUGAAGGCAAUCUAUUCUUCACUAAAUUGCUCACAAUAUGACCAUUUGGUCCAUGCCCAUCAAAAACUCCAAACAAAUCACUCUCUUCAACUUCUCCAUACUCCUAAUUCACAAAACAAACACACAAAUUUAAUAAUUCUAAAUACGUAAUAAUUAAAACAAACAAAUCUAAUUAAAUUACCUGAUAUGCAAAAGCAGCAUCUUGAUUGAUUCCUUUGCUGCCUUGCUUAGAACAAAUGGAUUCGAGUUUCUGAAUCCCGCAAACAGAAUAACAUGACUUAUAAUGAUCUUCUUCAAUAAUAAUACUUCCAACUUUGUUAGUUUCAUGGCGAAUCUGAGAAGAUGCAGAGGAUAUACAGAUUCCCAUUGUCAAAGGUGUGUGAGGAGGGGAAGUUUGAAGAAAUGACAAUGUCCUUUGCCUUUAAAUCAAUAAAUUGAAUGGGUCCUACAUGGGCAGAUUAGCAAAUUAAUCAGUUAUAUUAUAUAGUUUUAGCAGCUGCCCGUUGACUCAGAAUCAUUCACUUGCCUUUGAGUAAUUCAUAAUUUAUAAUGGAACCAACAAAGAAUAUACAAACUUUGGCCAUCUCAACACUCUACCCAAUAGGCAAUAACCCACAAACCAAAAUAGAUCAUAGAGAAGAAAAAUCUUAAAUCUUUGGCUGUUUAUUAAAAAAAAAAAAACACCCUUCUUGGUAAUAAUUAAAAAGUAACUAUAUAUCAUCCUCAACUUUUUACAAACAAGAAAUUCGUUACGAGUUUGGAUGAAAUUUCAAAUGUAGAAUAAAGAGGUAGUGAGAUAAUUUAACAUGGUUGUGAUGAAGUUGGAAAAAACCUUCACUACUAACAAUAUAAACAAAUAUUUCCUUGAUUCUUAUAAGAGAAUUCUCCAAUAACAUUAUAUCACUAAUCCCCAUAGUUAGUUUAAUAAACUUAAAAUACUAAAAUCGGUUUUGAACUUUUUUAACAUGGAGAACUACACUUCUAAUAAUUUGUCAACUCCAACGCUACGUUAUUAUAGGAUUGUGGUUUUAGUUUCCGAGUCUCCUUCAACAUUUUUAUGAAUUUAUAUCGUAAUGUAUUUUUCAACCCAUUAAAAAAAGGUUUUUCUAAAAAAUUCAUGAUAAAAAUUAGUUUUUUUUCUUGUUUGCAAUUUAAUAACAAGGAAAAUCCAUAUGCUGAGUAGUUGUAGAGUCUGAAGCGAUGAAUGGUUGACCAAGCAAACAAAUUAUUGUUAUUAUUAAUAUUACUUUUAGCUUCUUCUUCUUUUUAAUUUUAAUUUUGGGAGAGAAACUUAAAAAGUAGGGAAUGGAAUUUCUUGUGGAGAAGAGUGAUUGUGGGAGAGACGAAGGGCCAAUUUUAAUCAAUAGUAAAAUAAUUUCCAAUUAAUACAUGAAUUAAUUAUCAUUAAUCAAAUAUUAGUUAUUAUAAACACAUUGCAAAUUAAAUUAAGUAAAGUUCGAAAAAGGGACCCACCAGGCACCUGCUUGGAUAAAGGAGAACCGUCGGAUGAAGAUGGUGAUUAGAAUCUCUUGAAAUUGGAGAUGACGUGGAUCCAUUGUCAAAUACUAUUGGAAAUUCCACCAAAGUAUGAGGAUGGGGUUCCGGGUCCCACCUUCCCACUACAAUGGAUCUCAUCUCAUCUUACGUCACCAUUUUAAAAAAAAAUUAAUUAUUCAUUAUACUUUUUUAUUUCCUUUAAUUGAAUCUCACAGAAGGUAAAUUUGGUUAAAAUCUUUUCAAUCAUUUUUUGGAUAAACAUUGGAUCUCUUAUUUAUUUUCAACCAUUUUUGUUUGUUUUUAAUUUGUUUUUGUUUUUAGAUUUGAUGCCCUUCCAAAUAUUUUACCAUAGUAUUGGUCGGUGAAACUCGGGCCUUGAUCGUUUUUUGGUCCGUUCCUUUCGCAGUGUUGGAACUAACGAGCGUUUUUUGGUCCGUUCCUUUCGCAGCGUUGGAACUAACGUACGCAAAAAUGUUUGUAAUAGAGUAGUGUUGCGUUGAGCAUAUUUUGAAUUUGAUGUUUAAGUUAAUAUAAAAAGAGUUACUUAGCUUAGCUAAGCACAUGAAGAGUUACUUAUAUGCUAUAUCGACGAUGUCAAAGUGGGUAUGACUUUCAAGAUUGUAGAAUGCCAACGAGCAAAGACAAAAGUGUUUGUCAACUUGAAAUUGUAAGAAACGUUUUCCAAGUAAGAACUUAAAAUUGUAAGAAACAAAUCCACGGUUCAAAAAUUAAAUAAAAUUUAUUAAAAAAGAUCUAAACUUUUAAAUUUAUUAUGUUUUAAAGUUUAAGGACUUAAAAUAGACAUUUAAAAUUUAAAACUAAAACGAAAAAUUAAUACAACCUCCAAAGUAAAAAAAUUUAUAAGGUUAAAAUAGGGAUAUGGCCAAUAUGAUUUAUAAUAAGAAGCGUGGUAAUUUUGUAUCUAUCAAAAUCGUAAUCAAAACAUAAAUUAAUUAUAAUUAGAGACGGAGGUGGUUAUAAUUAUAACUUAUAAGGAGAUUAACUUUAUGUUCAUGUGAAAGGGCAAUGGUGUAGCUUUUGGGAUUAUCAGAGAGCUUUUCUUUUUCUUCUUCCUAUCUGGUUGAAGGUUGAUCACAUUACACGAAGAGAUGUCCCCAAAUUCAAAAGUUGACUUAUAUCAAUAAAUUUUGUAAUAAUAUUUCUAUCAUUUUCAGGAAAUUAUAAAACACACCAAUUAUUGAAUCAGUUUGCCAAGUGGGAAUCUAUCAAUCGUUAGAAUAAGCUUUUAGAAUCUAUAAAUCAAUACAAAAAAAUAUUCAUCUCUUUCCUGAUCUCAGCAAUGAAAGUCAACUUUUCUAAUACCCAAAUGGCACCAACAGGAAGUAAUAUGAUCCAUCAAAAUAUGACAUUUGGAGCACAUAAUCUGAACAUGACAAAGAUUCAUAUCAUACCAUAAGACCGUUGUCUCUCUCGUAGUAGACUUGAUGUUAUGUACAUUAAAAGAAAACUUAAUCUGUCGCCAGAAAAAGAUUAAAAAAAAAAUCAGUCUACAGAUGAACAAGUGAGGUACCAUUAAGCUACAACAACAUCCAUGUUUCCAUUGUCGUUUCACUGGCUUGUAACAGGGACAACUUCGUUUGGAGGGGCGGUAUCAGCGGGAGGCAAUUUCUUUGUAAGAGGCUUUGGUAUAUCGAGAUCAUCUAGCGAUAUUCGUUGCUGGGGGUGUGAUAACAACAGACACAUACAACGGUAAAGAACACGUGCAACUCCCUGGCCACUCUCGAAAAUAUAGCCUUCAUACUGGCUAACAUGAUCAAGGGCAUCAACUAAAGCAUCAUACACCUCUUGUGGGCAGUUGUCAGGUCCAGGCUUCUCAUGGAGGUAUAUAACAUCAAAAGUGAAGAGUUUUUGGUUCGCAGGCCACUGAUGUUGGGGCUGUGUCGAUGAUCUGCAAUAAAUAAGAAUCUAAAUGCAACAAAUGAUUAUGAUGCAUCCAUAUAAUCUUCCAAACAUACAUUGGAACAUUAGAGGUUCAAGGUCGGAUAAUCUAGGCUCACUCAUAGAUUCAUAUAACAGAUAAAAAUUUGAGCUGAUUUCGCAGAUUAGGACUAUAGGUAUAAUGAGAAUACCAGUCGUAGAAUUCGAUUUUGGGCGGUUGAUUUUCUUGAUUCGUGAGCAGCUAAUCGGAAAAGACUGGUAAGAUCGGCAUGAUUGCAAGGGGAAGUAGCACCAAGUCCCCUGACUGCAGCCUCUGCAGAUGCAAUAUCACUGCUAAACUCCUUUUUUAGCUUCAUUUACAAAAACUUUGGAUUAGAACCAGAUAUGUCGUUUAACAAGAAUGCUAUAAAAGAAUUAGGCUCUCCUAUGCAGAAGCUUGAAUAACAUUUCCAUCCAUUCAGAGGUUUAGCAACUUACCGUGUCAUAAAGAGUGCAAGAGUAACAGUGCAUUUAUAACUCAGUUAAAUGAACCUCAACCAAUUACUAGUUAUGCCUCCAAAAUGUUGAGUCAUGAAGAUAAUUCUUUUAGUUUAGUAAUAAGAAAAGACUGAUAAGUAAAUAUAAAGAGAAAUGAAUGACAAACAGUGAAGGGCAAGAGUGAUGGGAGCUAUAGAAGUGAAGUGACAGCCCAAUCUUUCUUGCGUGGUUAGUGCAGACAACUAAGGUUCGGUUUGGGAGGGUUCCAGAUUUGUUUUUCUGUUCAAUAGCAGUUGAUCAUAGAGUGCGGUAGUUAAGAAUUCAAGAAACAACGAUUUAAGGAGAAAUCAGCUGCAAGCAACCGGAAUCACCAUGCUCAUCUCCAAGUUCCACCGCCCAAAAAACUUCUUCAAAAGAAAAAUGACUCUAAAAGUGGAUAGUUGGAGAUAUUUCCUUCUCUUUUCCCCACAUAAAAUAUCAUCAGUAUUGUCACCCUUUCACAAUCUAAUUCUAAUACUGAAGCACAUGUUUUGUUCUGGAUCAGCACAUAUUAACAUCAUACUGACAAUAUCAAAACAAUGACUCUCAGUAAGAGUUAACAAAGUGGAAGGGAAAUUGUUAGAUCAGCACGGUCAAGUUAUAUUCUUCAAAUCAAAGAUGCAAAAUUGACAAUGGUUAGAUCAGAAAGUUUGUGGUACAAAACUUCAACUAUUAGUCGGAAAUCAGAUACUGUUUGGAUCAGCAAGUUUGUGUUAUAUCCUUCUAUUCAAAUCUGGACUAACAAGAUGAGCGAAUAACGGACCUUCUCAUUUUAUGCCCCACAGCGUGAACAAGAAAGGGGGACCUAAGAGCUUAAUCACAUUCACACAAAACAAAAUCUUAAAGUUCCCAAGCCAGAGGAGUGAUCAUUUGAGGAACAGAAUCCCUCAAUAAUCUAUUGAAUAAGAUGUUUGGAUCAGGGAAAAAAAAAGAACUCAGGUAUAAUCUCCAAUACAUGCCACAUACAAACUCAAACCUGCAGAAGAAUUUAAACUACGAGUUUCCAACCAUGGAAUAAUCCAAUAUUUCUCUACACCACAUGAAGUGUUCUAUAUGUUAAGGCAGGUAAAUAGGAAUUGAGUUCCCCAAUCUAGGUAAAUGAGUAGAAUGAUGCAGAAAAUAUAAACUCCCCUAAAAACUAAAAUUAGCCUUGAACCAAAAACAGACAGAAAUCACAGAAAUCCAGUAAUCCAAAACCUACAUUUCUGAAUGAAGAAAGCAAAAUCAACAAGAUGGGGGGAUUACCCAAAUGGCAGAUUUGGCGAUGGUGGUGAAAGCAAAUCGAUGGUCAGGAUUCAUGGAGAGUUUGGCGUGGACAAAUAGAAGAAUUGCUUGCUUAAUGGAGUCCAUUCUGGUGAUGGGUCGUCCAUUAGAGCCGGUGGUUUUGAUCUCAACGGAAGAUUCAGGGUUCACAUCUAUGCAGAAGAGAAUGUCUUCGUUGUUUAAUCUCGAUGAUUUCAGCGAGUAUCCACUUCCUCCUCUCUCAACUUCGAUUGCUUCCAUGGUUAUUCAGCGUCGAUUUUUGAAAAUUGGAAUACAAAGAUCAGCGUUUGGUGCCUUGUGGAGCUAAUUGUUUCAGAACUUAAAUUGGGGAUUUACUGUUUCCUUUUCUAUUUCGAGGGCAUGUAGAAGAAGACCAUAUUUAUAAGUAGACGGUUUUGAGCUGGAUACGAUUCCACAACACCAUUCUAUUCAGCAGUCAUAUCAACUAAAUUCUCAUUCAAAUUCCUACUUUUAUCCUUUACACAUUUUCAUCCGGCCCUAAAAACAUCAAUUUUAAACUUUAUCAACGUUUUACAUAGUGAAUUUCCAAAUUUCAUAACACAUAUUUCAAAUAACUUUUUUUUAACUCAAAUCAACUCAAAAAUCAAACCGUUUAUAAAUUAAAUUGAAAAUUGAAAUUAAAGAGAUAGUUUAAUAAUUUAUCAUUACCAUAAUUAUUUUGUUACAUUUAAAAAAAUAAUAUAAAAAGUUCAUUUGAGAGACGUGAUUAGGAUGAUAUGCUUGUUUAUAAGCAAAUUUCAUGUUAUUUAGUAGUUAUAGUCACUUGAUAUCAUAGAAGUUGUAUGGACUCAUCUACUAGUUUAUUAACCAUAGUUACUUUACAACAUUUCUUGUAUUGAUUUAUUCCUUUUAAGUAUUGAGACUAAAAAACACGAAAUGAACAAAAACCACGAAUCUCUUCUCGAAAUGUUGUAAAGUAACUUUGGAAAAUGAGUUCUAAAUUUUGAGAUUUAAGAAAUAAUUAGUUAACAAUAAAAAUAAAGAUCGGAGUUGAUAAUAAGAUAACUGAGUUAACACAAAUGAGAAGCGAGAAAUGUGGGUGUUAGUGAAUAAUAUGAGUUAGAUUUCCGGUUGCCAUCAUCCCCUUAGGGUUAGGUUAAAAGAAAUAAAAGAAAAACGUCUCUCAGCGGCGACAUCUCGUUACGCACUCUCUCUACCUUUCGCGCCUCCCGAUCUCUCGCGCCCAUCAACGUUACCUCUUGCUCCGCCUUCUCCGACGCCUACACGCCGCCGGCUACUGCAGGUCCGUUUCUCUCUCUCUCUCUCCCCCUGCGUGAUUUGGUGCAUAGCUUUCGUUCAUUCAGUAUUUUUGUUCUCUACCUCACAGCACUCUCUGUAUCCUCUGUGUUUCUCUCCUGCAGCUGCAACCGGAAGCUACCAGUCACCACCGUUCAGACGACGUCCGACAUCCCUCAGGACAGUAGCCAGUCCGUUGCCCAGCAAGUGUUUUGCACGUCAGUCUAGGUGCGGUGUUUCCUUCUAGUUUCUGAACUAUUCUCGCUAUAUUGAUUAUUCACUCUGUGGUGGGCUUUAUAUUCACAAAUCCGAGGAGUUUUAGCUAAAUGACUAUUACAAGGCUCUGAACUCGUCUUUGAAUUUACUAUCUAAUGUUACUUUAGAGUUAUAAACCUUGAAUUUUCCUUGUGCUUAGAAUUGGGCGGUUCGUUGAGGUUAAGAAACUAAUUUUGGAAUGGAUAUCGGGGAAAUUUUCUAGUCACCAUGGGAGAAAUGAAAAUGUUAAAGUAGUUUGGGUCUCCAAAAGCUUGACAAUAAAUGGAAUUAUGUUGGUAAGAUUGGAUGCAGAUUUUCGGAAACUGAAAGCAAAUUGAUUUUGUUGGAUUUUUUUUUUUUUUUUUUUUUGAGCUCAGUGAAUUUAUAACCGGAAAACCAUCCUAGGUUCGGGUUGGUUUGAUGAUAAUUUUGGCCUCAAACCAAAUAUGAUCGCAAUUAGCCCACAUACCAGAACUGAUAUACAUCAUUCAGUUUUCCCAUAAUUGAUGCACUGCACAAAUUCACGUUUUAAUGUUCGGUACCUAGUACCGAGUCUGAGGAGUUUACUAUGACGAGUAGUUGAAUUAGUCUGCUGUAGGAUGGGUUAAUUGUUCAGACUCCACUAAGACGACAAUACCAGAUUAGUAGUAGAUUAAUCAGUUUAGGUUUAUUAGUUACAGUCUUCCAGUUCAUGUUGCAUUGGGACGCAUGGCAUAAGUCUAGUGACGUUAUGUUCCAGUUCUAUUUUCUUAGAAACUAUGUUCUGUACUCUUUGAGUUUUUUCCCUCUAAAUGUAUAAUUUUGUUCUCAAUUUAGAAUGAGUUUAUUGGUUGUUUUUAGCUGGGAUCCCAAGAUAAAGUUUAUUUAAUUUUUCAAUUAUACUUUGAGGUUUUCAAUUUCAAGCGUCAUGCAUGCACUGAUGCACAUAUUGUAGAUCAGGUCUUAGACAUAUUGUAGAUCAGAUCUUAGAAAGUUGCGUCAUGACCGGUGCUCUAGGAUUAGUUCUAAGAUUUUGAACCCUUCGUGCAGCUGAUCUUAUUGUAUAAAUGCCAAAGAAGAAAUCUUCUAAAACGCCUAAAAAGAUCCCAGAGAAUGCCUCUACGAAACAGGAGAAGUCCAAUGCCGUGGUAAAAGGUGAAAAUCCCAAUUCCGUAGUGAAAGAGGAAAAGCCCCCAUCAGUAAAGAAACACAGUGAGAUCGAUGAAAUUUUUGCUGGGAAGAAGAGGAAAAAGCCCGAAGUUGGGAAGACCGAGGAGCCAAAACUAGAUGCACAAGACAGACCGAAAAAGACAAAGAACAAGAAAAAGGAUGAAGCUCAAUCCAGAAAUGGAUUUGCAGACCCACAAUCGCGGCGAAGAAAGAAAACUGGGGAUGGGCUUACAAUUUACACCGAAGAGGAACUGGGUUUUGGCAAUGCAGAUGCUGGAGGCACCCCGCUCUGCCCAUUUGACUGUAAUUGUUGCUUCUAAACAUCCUCAAUGUUCGAUUUUGAUCAAGAGGUCGUUUCUCUAUCUAGUAAAACAUCUGUUACAUCUUCCAUUUCUGUGAAUCAAUUUUUCCAAUUUUAUUGAGCAGUUUAUUUGUUUCCAUAACGGCUGUGCAUUGGAGGCGAUCAUCAUUUUAGAUUAUAUAAUUAUGAAGCACAGAAAAGUAUAAAAUUUUGAAGGUCUUGAUGGAAUUGUUGUUGACACGACAGUACAGACCAUUCUGUUAUUUGGUUUCUUAAGACCUGUUCAACAACAUAAAGUCGAUUGCACCUUGUGAACAGAAUUCUAAAGAGAAAAUGCAGUAGAUAGUUUGGUUCAUUAGAAUCUGAAAUUUAAAUUUCUAUCUACCACUUCUGUUUCACAAACAAACUUGGGUUACUUAUCUAAUAAACGAGAUCCAGUGGUAUGUUCUUCAUUUAUUUUGUUCUGUUAAAGGGGCACCAAUUUCUCAAUUGUAUUAAGUUUGUGAUAAUUUUCUAUUUAAAUUGACUCAGAUUUUGAUUUUUUUUAUAUAAUUAAAUUAAGCAAUUUAAAUUGAGGUUUCAUAAAGAUUUGGAUUUAAUUUCAUCAAGAAUUGGCUUUUUUUUCUAAAUACAAAGUAGAGUGAGCUUUGAAAUCAAAUAUUACACAACAGUUAUUGCGCAAUUAAGAAUUAGUUUCAUUUAUGAGGAAAUAAGAAGAAAAGGAGAGUAUGCCUACAAAGUUUAUGUGUUGCGAUAAAUUGACAGCAAGGGGAUGGAAGAUCACAUUUCAAACCUAUGUCCCAACUGAGGCUUUUCAGAACUCUAAAACCAUUAACAGUUAUGAAAUCAAAUAUUAAGCAACACUUAUAACGCAAGAUAUUAUCCCAUUCAUUUUCCAUUUAUUUUCUGAGAAGCAACUGUGAAAGAUGAUAGGCAAGAAUCCCAUGAUGAGUCUCUCAUCCAGAUUGUUCCAACAAAUGAAAAGGCGUCAUCUGAGACUACACAAGCAACAACAAAAAGUGAGAUAGUCCAAUCAAAUGAUAAUAGCAGAUUAGAGGAUAAGGAUUCUUUGUAAAUGUUGAAAUCAUUCUAACAAAAAAACCAAAAAAUCGUAUUUGCAAAUCAGCUUCUGUAAAACAAGAACAGAUUUACUAAGCUAAACAAGAACAGUAGCUUGAAAAUUUCACUGCUUGAAAUUUGAAGGAUACCAUAUAAAAUAAUAAUAGAUUCCCCCAAUCGUGUUCAGUAGCUCAAUAUAGGCACCGUGCAAAAGGUUGUUUGUUGUAAGAUUAAUGAACAAACACCCGUGUCUGAAUUUAAUGCCCAUUCAAACUCUAAUUCAAAAACCCUACACAGACCUAAUUGCAGAUGAUGGGGAUUAGAAAUUUUUAAAAAAUGUCGACCGGGCAUUGUGUCUUAAAACGAUUAAGUUUUAAGGAUCUUCUUCCGGUAACAAAAUAUCGGCUCCAUGCGGCAGACGGAUCGCCAUUAAAACGGCGCCUGCUGCUGACUCGAUGAUAGAGCCAAUUCAGAUUAACCAACCCAUUUCAUCGAAUUUUUUAAAGAGAAAGCAAAUAAACGAUUCAAGAUAUCAAACGCAUUUCUCUUGGAUUGAAGGAGAAGACAAUGAAAAUCAAAACAAAUCGGAAAUUAAAGUGACAGAAGAAGGAGAUAAUCUCAGGACGGACGGAAGACAAUUCAAAAGCUGCGGUUCAGCUGAAAUUUAUAGAGGAUAUUUGUGAAGAAACCCUAAAUUCUGAUUGUGAGUUUAUCGAAAAGACCGGAGAGGAAAGCCCAUUGUGUGAGGCCCAAACUAAAUGACCUGGGCCUUUUUUAGUUUCAGCCCAAAGGGAUGCGACACGUCGUUUCACUUUCUAUAUAGAGCCAAGAGCGUGCCACGUCAACAGACGACGUCGGUUAGUAGGAAUAAUACCGAUUUGCGGAUUUAAGAAUUGUUCAUUUCGGUUUGUAUCGGAAGUUCUGAAUCUUGAUCCGUGGGAAUGGCCGCUGUGAGCCGAGCUUCCACUCGAAUCCCUCAUCUGCUUGCUGCACGGGGAGCUUUGUCUCUUCAUACCACAGCUCCGGCUUUGUCUUCCUCAUCCACUGCUUCUCCGACGCCGUAUGCGAGGCCGCUGCCUCCUUCGGCCUCGUCCCCGACGGGGCUUCCGAAGGCGGCUGAGUAUGUCAUCUCGAAGGUUGACGACCUCAUGAACUGGGCUCGCCGUGGUUCUAUCUGGCCUAUGACUUUCGGCCUUGCUUGUUGCGCUGUUGAAAUGAUGCACACCGGUGCUGCCCGCUAUGACCUCGAUCGCUUUGGUGUCAUCUUUCGUCCUAGCCCUAGGCAAUCUGAUUGUAUGAUUGUCGCCGGUACCCUCACCAACAAGAUGGCUCCAGCUCUUCGCAAGUUAGUUCUCUCCAUUAAAUAAAGCUUGUUGAUUCCUGAUUUUUUGGACCCGACUGGAUAAUUGACUGAACUACUAGAUUGACGGAAAAUUUUCAUAUUGAGAUCGAAGUUUAGAAUUAUGUGAUUUUUCAGUUUCUGGAGUUGUUCCUUUUGUCAAUUGCUCCUGGCCUGUAGGUUGUAGUGCGUACUUGUUUUGUCCAUCUAAACUUGUGAAGAUAUUAUUCCUGUCUGCAAUGAUCAUAGCAUGUUUAUCUUUUCUUAAUCUGGUAUGUUAUCUAAAAGUUUAAAGAUUUAAGUGGAUUAUACCAUUGUAGUUAUCUGCUUAUUUUCUUAUUUAUUGGGUCAAAUUAAUUUGAUUAAAUGUAUUGAUUGUCAAUAAUACAAUGCUUCAGCCUCUAUGUCAAUGGAUUUUAGGGGAGGUUCUUUUUCUUCAUUAUGAAAAACGGGUGGAUUACUUUCGAUAUAUUGGAUUACUGAAUUGUGCAGUGCUAAUUGGGAAAUUUAUCUUGUUAGGCCAUCUUGUUCACCUAGAUUCAUGUUAUUUAUUUUUAUGAAUUUUCACUCAUCACAUGACUUCCAUGGUUUACGAGGAAAAUUUGUGAAGUAAUCAUGAAAGUAGUUCCUGUACAGAGUUUUUUCACUUCAUCAUCUUGGCAUGGUGUCUGGUGAAUUCUGUUUGGGUUGAGUAAUCAUGAUUUCCCGAACAGUCAUCUAUUUAUAUCUGUUCUAUUUGUUCGAGUGGUUAAUGUGUCAAUGAAGCAUGUGACUGUUCUAUUUGUUUUGAAGGUUUCCUUUAUCCUUAUUAUUUUAAUCUAUGAAUUUGAAAUGUGCAUUGUAUAGUAAAACUUCCAAACACUGAAAUAUGUGAAGAAAGUAUAUGUUGGACAUCUUUCCAAGUUUGACUAGAAUUGCUGGAGUCAUUUCACAUAAGUAGCUAACUUCUAUGUACGAAUUUCUGUUUAUUGAGGAAAAUGGAACUAAAGCCUAGAGGAAUUCACCAAUUUAGAUACAGUACCCCCUCACUUUAGAAUUCUUAUUUUUUAAUCUUGAUGGGUAGAAAUGAAGUUUUAAUAUGACCAAGAGAACUCUAAAUUCUAUUCGUGAGGAUUUUCUUACGAAAAUGUAAUAAUGGGAUAAGAAGUGAGUCACAAUGAUAUGUGAAUUUCUUUGAACUUGUUUCAUUUAUAUGGUGGUAUUGCAUGUAAUUGUGGUAGACUAUGAAAUCCUUUAUUUUGAAUGAAAUAAGGUUCCCAUGCUUUCUUCUCUCAAUCCAGCUCUUUAUACCUAUGGGGGUUGUAGUGUGCUAGUGAGGUUGGCUUUUCAGGAUAUUAAGCUAUUUUCUAAAAAUAUCUCAUUGAAAUGGUGCAUGAAUUUGAUAAAUGCAAUAUAGACUAAAAUCCAAAUAAACGGAUGCUAUAGAAGCAAAUAAAAAGCUAAAUGGAUGCUAUUGAAGCAAAUAAAAAUUAUAAUGGAGGAAGACAACCCAAAUAUUAAUCCUUUAUCAAAGUUAAAUACCAUUAUCUCAUAUUUGUAUUUGUUUGUGUCAAUGUUUAUGUUGCUGCUAUGGCUAUUUUCAAUGUUUAAGAGUCCCAUCAAUGCUUGACCUGAAUGCUCCAUAACUUCAUUUAUCAAGCUUGGAACUCAGACUUCCUGUUGGUGGUUAAUGAACCAUUAUCUUUGUUGUUGGAUCUGAGAAUGCUACUAUAGUCUAGCUUCAAUUUUCUAAGUUUAGGGAAUCCCUUGAUUAUUACAUUGAAAACCAGUUUGGUCGUAUAAAUAGGUUAUAAUACCACCUGUUUAUUCAUUCCUUUCAAUGAAAACUUGAAGAAAGACUGUACUUAAUUCAUUGUUUCUGUAAUCUGUAGGGCUCUUCAACAAAAGUUGUGGCUUUUAACCCAACGGAUAACCAUGGUGGUUAAGGCCUUGGAUUCAUACAACUUUUACUUAUGACCGUUAGACAUUAAGUCAUUAACUGACACACAGGCUUUUAUUGCUAGCCCUUAGGUUUUUAUUUUAUGAGGCUCUGUUCUGAGAUUAAUAAUGUCUAUGAUAACAACAAUGGAAGUAUGCUUAUCAAUUGAUUAAGAGAUGAACAACUAGAUCUUGUCAGGCUGACUGCGUGUGAGAUCCUUUCACGACAAGGGAGGUUUUGGAAUCCUCUGAACUAGGCCGAUAAUUUUAUUGUCUGUUUAAAAUUUUAAAUAUUUUAAUUUUUCUGUUGGGUUUUCUGAUAAAUCAAUUCACCAUCUCACCCAAGCUACACUUACUCUUUGUUCUCUGCAGGGUUUAUGAUCAAAUGCCAGAACCGCGAUGGGUUAUAUCCAUGGGAAGCUGUGCAAAUGGUGGUGGAUACUAUCACUACUCAUACUCAGUCGUUCGGGGUUGUGAUCGAAUUGUCCCUGUCGAUAUCUACGUUCCUGGUUGCCCUCCUACUGCUGAGGCAUUACUUUACGGAAUCCUUCAAUUGCAGAAGAAGAUCAACAGACGCAAAGAUUUCCUCCAGUGGUGGACCAAGUGAGACCAUCCAUCCAAGUCAGGUAUUGCUCCUUGGUGGAUGCUUCAAACUACAAUAAGAACUGUAUUACAAGUUUGUGGAAAUGUAAUAGAAGAGAUUAUGAGUGAUGUUUCAAUAAGACCCCAUAACUGAUCCUCCUUGGUGAUGUUUUUUCCCCUUUUUCUGUUUAUCUCCCCCAUGUUAAAUGAAGCCUUUGCAUGGCAAAGAAUUAUAUGUAUCUCUUCAACUUUGGAGUUCACUAAACACUUCUGAAUUUUUCAACUUAGUUUAAUGUCUUCUGAUUUAUUAUUGUUAAUGCCAUUUUUCAACUUCUCUUUCCAAAAUCAAUUCUGUAAUCACCAUUUUGUUACUACUUUGUUUGAGGUUACUUUUAUUUACAAUUACAAUAGUGGAUGGAGAUAAUUGUUUUUCUAAUUAUUGAUUUUUAAAGAUUCUUUUCUUCCAAAUCUUAUUAUAUUCUUGAAUAUGUCAUUUAUCUUUAUUUAUACAUUCAAUUAGUUUGUGUUGGGACAUAGAUUAUGCAUUCUUUCUAAAAUAUUCAUUUACCUUGACUCUCACCUGUAGUUGUGAUUGUAAAUUAAGGAAGUGUUCUUUAUUUAAUAAACAAAGAUGUAGUUCACACAAUAGUAAACAAAGUCAACAAAUAUAAAUUGAUAGAUGAUUGUGGAAAAAACUGCACAAUAAAACUUAUUUAGAGGUCAAAAUGGCUAAUGAUUCUUUUUGACAUGUCAAAUGUUGUUAUGAUUGCGUGAAAUUAUAACAUUUUUAGUUUUUUUUUUUUCUUUUAUUCUUCCAGUGCUCGUCUUCUUUGAGUUGUUCUUCUACAAUUCCUACUCUUUUUAUCCAAUUUUGGCGCCUGUCUUCUUAGGAGUGAUUUUGAGAGAGAUCGAUAGACAGGGAGAUGGAUGAGACGAAAAAGAAAAAAAAUGAGCAAGAUAGUAGUGAUUUGUGAGUGGUAAAAGAAGAGAUGCAGGUAAAAGAUCAUUCAACAUUUUCUUAAAAACGAAAUCCUCUAACAUGUCUCCUCAAUCUUUUGAUCAUCCAUUAAAUGAUUCGUGAUUAUGAAGGGAUACACUUUAUUUUAUUUAUUUGUAGCUUUCCGUGAUAGAGAGAGCAGGAGUAUAAUAUGUGAGUGCAUAUAAUUUAUGCGUAAUUCACAUAUCCCAUUGCUUUUAAAAUAGAGGACCAUUCUAAAAACAAUUUUGUCAACUCAAACAAAACUUGGAGUAAAAAGAAGAAUAAUAUGGAAAAAAAACGUAUAUCUCUCAAAUAGGGGGGAGUCUAAUUGAUUUGAUAAUUAGGCAACAAGAUUAUAUCCAAUUAUUUUAAAGGAAUGAAGAAUCUGAUGUGUGUUUGUAAGGGAUGAUUAGUUUGUCCGAUGAGAGAAUGUUUAGAUGGAAAAAACAAAUUGUGAGCUUUCUAGUUUUUCAGUUUCCUAAUUUAUGGUAACGUUAUUAUGAAAAUUAAUGGAAGCAGACUUCUGUAGAUUAGGAUUUAGCUGAUUUUGAUUAAAAGAAAAAGACCCAACAGCUGUGGAAGACGAUAAUGGAGAACCCAAUGUUAAUGAACUGAUAAAGACAAAUUUAAGAUUCAUGGGUUGGUGUGAAAUUGAAUUGGAAUGGAGGGAAGGGAAGAAAGAUAUAAUUUUUUUGCUUAGUUCUGCAAUAUUAUUUUAAUUCGUUACGAAUUCAAAAUGAUCUUACCAUUUUCCCUCCUUUUUCAAAGCUUUCUUCAAACCCCGAGUAUCUAGGGUUUCAAUACUGUACUUUAUACAGCUUUUUCCUUCCACUUUGGUUCGUCUUUCGUCUUCACUACCAAAUAUUCCUCUUUCACUGCUCCAAAAAACCCAUCUCUCCGUUUCCCUCUGUUACUUCAAAAUGAAUGAAACCCGAUCGCACCUCCUUCAACUUCCAAACCAACUUGACCCAUAUGGGUUGAUGCUUUCUGAAUCAAUUGAACGGUUUUUCGAUGAAUAUCGAAAAGGGGUUACUGAUUUCUCUAGUUUCAUUCCCAUUUUCUCUCGUUUGCUUAGAAAUUUGCCCGACCCACCGGUGGCCGUCGUGUGGUUUUACUCUGCUCUGACUUUUCACACAGCUAAAUCCUCAGCUAGAGGUUCUUCGGAGAAGCUGCAGGCAGUUAAGGAUUUAUUCCAGCUCCUUGUUUCUUGCACGGAGUCUUCCUGUGCGUCGAAAAGAAUCGCGGUGCUGGCUCCGGUUGUUUACUGUCUGUUUGAUUUAGUUGUCGAGAAGAAAACGUCUAAGGAAGAGGCUGAGAAUUUGAUCGAUGGGGUUGUUAGUUAUAUCAGUAUUUGUUGUGGUCAAGAGUCCGAGGAAGUAGGUUGUUCCUUGGGGUUUGGUCCUUAUUUUCUGGAUUUGGCUCGUGUCUGGAUGGUGGACAAACCUGGAGAAGAUUUGAAGGGUUUUCUUCCGCUUGUUAGCCAUGAAAUUUGUCAAGGCAUCAGUAUCAAUGGUGGGGUUGGCUACUUUGCUGGGAUCGUUAUGUUUGAAGCCUUUUUGUUGAGGCUGUGCUUGAAAUUUUCCUCUCGGAUGUCAAUGGUAGAACUGCAAAAUGAACUCCACAGCCGGGCUGUUCAAAUGAUUGCUGGGUUUCGUAGCUGUCAUUUCUAUGGUGAGAUUUGAUUUUGGUAUUCUUUCUUUUAAUAUCACGAGACUGUUAAAUAACCUGGUCCUUCCUCAAUUUGUUCCUCGGCCCUCUUUUUUCUGUCUAGUAAAAGCACGUUAAGUUCUUAGUAGUCUCUAUUUCGACCUUCACAUAGACGCAACAUGUCUCAUAGAUGUUAGGGGCGUGUAUUUCUUUAUGUAUUAUAAGUAUGUUCAUCGUAUCUGCUUUGAUUUUGGUAUGCAUUAACUGGAUGCUCUGUUCAACUAUCCACCAUAUGUCCUUCAGUUGACAUAUAUGAUGCACGCAAACUAGGCAUGAAGCACUGAUAUUGCAAUAUUUAAAACUUUGCUAAAAGUGAAGACCAGGGAUGGGAGGCACAUAUUCUCUUUUGGGAAUCAUAUAAUUGAGUGGAUUGUGCCAUAUUCAGACAAAUCUAAUUCUGAAAGUAGUAUCUCUCUGUAUGUGAGGUAUAAAAUAAAAAUUCCAAUCGCUUUUGCGUGCACGUUCAUUAUGUUUUCAGGGCUUCUCUUGUUCGUAUGCCCUCUACAUAUCUGGAUGACCAAGCCUUUUCUAGUGCUCUAAUUGCAUCCGAUCUUUUCUCCUAUUAUCAAUGACUCUGGGUGCUUGUAAUCUGAAAUCUGUUGGUGCAUAUCAGAUAUUUUCCUCAGGAUGCUGCUGCAGUCAGUUUUGCCAACUACCUAUUUGUUGGUCAGUAUUUCUUUCUUUUAUAUUUAUUUCUGUGUACCAUGUUUGUAGUUUAUUUAUUUGAGGCAGUAGUAUUCCUACUUCUAGAUUGAUGGCUCUCCCUUAUGAGAUGUAGUUUGAGGUUCUGCAACUCUGCUACUAUCCAUCAGAAACACCAUACACGCCCAUGGUGGCUUAAGCUUGAUCAGAUACAUCUUUGGAAGUAAUAUUGCUUACUCAUCUUGAAGUGGUAAAGGGAAUAAAUCUUUGAUUUUACCGAACUGUUUCUUCCGUAGGGUUCUGCAGAUGAAAUUCUUCUGCGAGAAGUAUUAUAUGAUGCUGCAAUAAUACCAGAGUACCCAUUCCUUAAACUUCAAUUUGGAACUGAACGACCUGCUGCUGAUUUAAGAACUAUUUGUUUGAAUUGGUUAUUUGUUGCUGAUAAUGGUAUUCGUUCCUUUAGGUAUAACAAAUCAUAAUUCGAGCAUUAGCUACAGUAUCUCAAUUCUCAAUUUGAACUUUGCAAUGCAUGUGAUAGAAUGGAGUAAAAAUUUAUAAUGUGCACAUUCUGAUUGGUUCAGAGACACUGGAAAUCUGAGCAAGGCUAUGUCCUACAUAAAUGCCUUCCGCAAUUCUUGUUGGCCCUCUCAGUUGAUCAAUUGGAUCAGAAACCAGCCAGGCUUCAGCGAGAGGAUGAGUCAACCAAAUAUCUGCACACCCACGGCUCUUAUCGGUUAGUUUCUAAACAUGUACAUUGACUUAUGAUUCUAUGAGCAAUGUUUUUUCCAGUUUAUUCAUGUAUUUCUUUCAAUGAUAAUGAAGAUAUAGUUCACAGAACAUGAAAGUGACAUUAUGUACAAGACAACUAUUAUGUGUUGAGCUUGAUUAUAAGACAUCUAUACUGUGAAUCAUGUUUCGUGUUUGCUGGACAUUGGGACUAGCAUGGGAAUCGAUAUAUAUACAUAUACAUACAUAUAUAUACAUAUACAUACAUACAUAUAUAUAUAUAUAUAUAUAUAUGAGAUAACUUCUUAAUACUAGGGUACUACCACACUAACGAAUUUUGUCGUCAGCAUCCUUUGAGAAUGUUCUGAGGUCCAAUAACAUUAAAUAAUUCUUUAUGCAAUUUUUCAAUAUACAUGUGUAUUGGCAUGCUUUGAAUCUAUUAUCUAUUGCUUUGAACGACCUAGUGGCGGCACAUCUAAUUUGUACUUUUAUUUUGAAUUUUCGCUCUGAUAUAAAUUGUUCUUCCUUUUCUCAUGAGCAACAUGUUGAUUCUCUAAUGCUUUACAUUUUCUGUUAUCUGUAUUUGUUGAUUCCACCACAGUACGUUUGAUGUCUUUUAUUGACGGCUGAUGUUCAAUUUGAUUAUACUUCAGAAUGGCUUCUGGUAUUGGAAGAUCAAGGGGUGAGAGUGUUCGACCAUUCGAACUCCAAGCUCAGAGCGAGAGAAACCAUUUGUAAGUCGGAAGCUGAGUUUGUACAACCAGCAAAAGUUUCAGAUGGCAUGAACCUAGACGUUAAAUUCUUCAAUAAUGCUUCAAAUGUGAUGGAUGAAGAUCCUUCUGUUGGUGACUUUGACAUGGUUGAUUCAAUGGCUACCGCAGCAGUACAGGCAACAUCCAUUACCUUAAAUGGAAAUGGCAUUGAAAAUGGAAGAAAAAGAAAGGAAUGCAUGACUGACAAAGAGGACAUGAGGGUAAAGUUCCUUAGGCAACAUCUCCACGACAAUCCACUCAGAGAGAAAUCUUUGCCACUGGUCUGAUUAGAAAUCCAUCCCUUCACUGAUGGAAAAUAUAUAUAUAUAUAUAAUAUUAUAUAAGGAGACAUUGUCUGUAACACAAAUCUAUGAUACUAUGGAGGAAUUUUGUGCCUGCUCUGCAGCCAGCCUCUCGGCUAUUAACGUUUUCUUUUUGUAAGGCAAUACGGUCUUGAGAUUAGAUUCUUCAAAUCGAUUGUGUAAGCUUUUACAUAUAUAUUUGAUCAGAUGCUAAUCAAGGCAAGGCCAGUAGGUUGUAAACGAUGGAAAAUUUGCCAUAAUACAUAUGGUUUAAAAUAACACUUCUCUUCUAAUUCUCUCUUCUUUUGAGCUGAACGUGACAUGAAAGUAACGGAUUCAAACUUGUGAUAAGGUUAACAAGUGAAAGAGGAGUUUUACUUAAAUCAACUAGGUAAACAAAAAGAAAACUUAGAAAAUUAAAUGCAACUUCAAAGUUGACAAAAAAGAGUUUGACUACCCAAAAAAAAAAAAGAAAAGCUUUUUGUGAUACCUACUGCUCAUGAACUGAAAAGAUAAUAUUUUUAUGUAAGUUCUUAAUAAUGAAGUUUGAAGGUCACAUGUUUCCUAUGGUUUGCUCACAAGCAAUCCCCACGAUUCUUUUAUCUUUCAGUCAUUGUCAUUGAAAAUCCAAACCUUAGGGAUUCACAAUCUCUACUUUUUUAAAAUUAAUUUUGGAACAAAUAUGUAUAUAUUAUUUUCUCUGAGAAGUACUUGCAAUUUCACAAUAGAACGUGUGGAUAAACAAGUACACAUAAAAUAUAAGAAUCAAAGUCUAUGAUAAUACAUUUUUGUAAGGACAGAAGAAACAGUCAAAAAUAAUUAAAAAGUGUGGCUGAAAAAGUCAACUGUAUAGAUAGUUUUCUCUUUUUAAUUUAUUUAUUUCAAGUGACACAAUCUUAUGAUCAUAAGAAAAACAAAUCACUUUUUUACUUAAUAAGCAAACAAUCCAAUAAUGAAGUUGUGAUGAUGAUCAAAUUACGCAAUUGCAUGUGAAAAGCAUCUUUUAAGUACAUUGCUUUUUGCCUCAUGGAAAUUAAGGACCCAUACCCUAUUCACUAUUACAAUUAAUUCAGUUUAACCCAACUUAGAUCCAACAUUUUAUUUCAAUCAUUCCAAAUAUAAACUUAAAGAUCAAGAAUAUCCAAUAUGGAGAAGAAGAAAAAACAUGUAUCGUUAGCAACAGAUUCAUCAGAAAAUUAACCAACAACUACUCCUAUGUAAAUCUUCAGUUAUUUUACAUUGUACAAUCAUUUUCUUAGUUCAACAUAGACAAAAGAAAGAGAGAGAUAGAGGAAGAAAAUACAUAAAAUCUUUUAUUGAUAAAAGAUGAAUUAAGACAAUAUUUGUGGAAAUAUAUAUAAAAUAUAAUAUGAAUAAUAUGAUCUCUUUCUAAUUCUCCCAACCAACCAAUCCAUAAUCGGCCAACCCAAUAAAUAAGAACAAGCUAAAUUCAACUUGCAAAAAAACAAACCGACCCAUCAACUAAUCAUCAUACGAACAUUUAAGGAAGAAGAAGAAAAAAAAAGUUCCAUCCCAUCUGCUGCCGGCAGAGAUCUCCGCCGCCGCCACUAUUCAUGUUCAUGUUCAUGUUCAUGCUGAGAGGCAGUGGCAACCCCAGCAAGUUUUUGAAGAUUCAGUUUGAUGACAGUGUCGACGAACAUUUUGGUAUCCUCACCGGUGUUCCCUUCUGGUAUGUCAACGAUGUAAGACUCCAAAACGAUGGUGUAAACUUUGCUGUCUUUGUUGAACUCGUUCACCGACGUCACUGAUCGGUAAUUGUUCAGCCGGUGCUCUCCUCCCACCACCCUGAAGCUUAAUAUAUGCUUCUCAUCGUCCAAAAUCUCUAGCCUUUCUGUGCUCGUUGAUGCCGGAAGGCCGGAAACCACCGUCACCUCUCUAAUGCUGCCGACCCCGCCAUCCCCGGCUGUUUAAAACACAAUUUAUGGUUUGAAAGUGUAAACUAAACACUUAAUUAUUAAUUAAACAGAAAACUAAAAACGGAAUUGUUAUAAAAACAGAACACUUCCGUUUGUUAUAAAUAAAACAGACAAUUUGGGAAAUCACUUGGGUGAAUCUUGCAUGAAAACAAAACAAAUAAAACUUUGAAAUGAUUAAUAAAGUGCUUUAUAAUUAAAAAAAAGAAAAAGAAGCAAAGGAAAGAACAAGUAUUUUUAAGCAAAGUCUAUGAUGAGAGAAGAAUUAAGUGUGUGUGUGUGUAUAUAUAUAUACCUGACAUUUUGCAGCUUUUGAUGAAGUGCUUGUACUUUUGGGGAUUAUCGAAGCUGCGAACGAAAGGCCAGACGGCGUCGAGAGGAGCGUCGAUACGUUGGGUGAUGAGAGAAGUGGUAGUGUUAGGAGAAGGUUCAAAUUUGUGGUAAGUUUGAAUGAGGGGUUGAAGUUCUUGGUAUUCAUCAGCUUCUAAUCCUGGCAAAGGUGACGUUUUCUUCGCCGCCAUUGAUUCAAAUGAUUAUCACAAUCAAAAUAUUACAUUUAAAUGAAACAUAUCUCAAUGAGAAACACAAACACUCCAAUUUCGGGGAUUCUUUAACGCAACGCUGCUUUGAGCCAUUUUGCUGUGCUGACGAAUGGAUCUCUCUCUCUUUAUAUAUAUAAUCUCUCUUAAGCCAACACACACGAACUACUAGAUCCACGUGGGACCCACUUCCUCCCCCCCCCCCCCCCCCCCCAUUUUUGGACAACUUUGCCCUUCCCAUAUAUUUCCUAUUAUUGUUUAUUCUACUUAAUUCGAAAAAAAUAAAAAUAGAGAAGUUCUUCUUACUCGGACUACCCUGGUCAGGUUGGAAUGGAAUAUAAUUAAGAUUAUCGAAAAUCUUACUAAUGUUGGAAUAAGCGAUGAAUCGAGGAAAAACGAAAAUUGGUAAUAAAAAAGAGGAUUGAAUUGAAGACAUCGGAAACAUGUUAAGUUUGAUUUUUCAAAUUUAUAGCCCAAACCAUUAAAACAAAAGAGAGUUUCAUUCUACGGUAUAGAUCUCCAGACAACCUCUAAAUACUUAUAAAAAAAUGUUUCUGAAAGAAGAGAAUAAGAUUGUUAAAUAGUCGUUAUUAUAGUUUGUUAUAAGGACUAUAAUGUUAUUCUAUGAACAUGACAUGCAAACUAUUUUAGUUGAAUCAUACAUAAUAUUUUAAUUUGAAUUACAAAUGUAGAAAAAAAUUGAUUAAAAAAUAGAUGAUGAGAUUUUUCGAAUAAUUUCUUAUGUAAUGAAAUUGAGUGAACUACUCACUACAUCCAAAGCAAGUUGAAGACUCAAACACUAGUUCGAAAGUCAAAUCUAACAUUUCCUAAAUUCGUCUAGAAGUUAGUAAUCUCUUUUCGAGACAGUUGAUGAAGUUUGUUAAUAUCAUGUAGCAUGUAAGAUAUUAUACGAAUUUACUUGCUUCAAGUGCAAAACAAUUCAAUAUUUUAAGAGAUAUUUAUACAAGGGUAUAUAAAAGAAUUAUGGAAGCUGUGGAUAUAUUAAUGCAUAUGGUUGUAUUGUAUUAAUAAGAUUCUAAUCCAUUGACUAUGAAUGUUAAAUAACUUUUAGGUUUGAGUCUCUAUUGGGUCAUUUUCUUGUUCAAUUUGUUACUAAGUAGACUUUAAAAUACCAUAAAUUGAACUCACUUCUAAAUGUCAACUUUUUUAUUAAAAGAAAUACUAUGUCAAUCUGAAUAAUCUUAAUUCUAGCUAAGACUAUAAUUCUUUUUUUUGAAAAAAAUACUAAAGAAGGUUCCAAAUUGUUGGUAAUAGUGCAUGAAUUUAUUUUUUAUAUUUUCGUGUAUCGACUGAAUUAUUCGAUGCGACAAAUUCUUCUUAUUUUACUUUAAGAAAAUGCAAAUUUUGAUUUACGACGAAGUAUGGAAUUGAAUGUGUUGCAUUUGAUGGAGAGAUUCAAGGAACCUGAAACAUAUUCAUGAAAGGAGGCUGCUUAGAGAAGCUAUUUUGUAUGUUUUUAACGAGAGAAAAAAAAGACAAUACUAAGAGUCAUUUAAAUUUGGGUCUUACCGAGGUGGUGGUAAGUGGUAAGAGCAGCAGCAAUAGCACAACUCACAUUUGGGUUUUGACCAACAAAACAAACCCAACCAUUGUUAUUUAUCCAUCAAAUACUCGUAACAAUUUAAUUCAACUUUGCUACACCCACAUCGUCUAUCUAGCUAGCUGUCAUGUGGGGGAUCAAAAAAGGUUCAAAGCUUUCUACAGAUUAUAAAUGCUAUCCCUCAUAAAAGUUUCCCAUUUUUCAAUGCCCUGAGGACAUCUGGCUCAAAAAUAAGAUUUUUCAAUAUAGUCUCGAAUAAUGAAAUUGAGGUUGCUAACCUCACAAACUAGCAAAUAAAAAUUAUAGUAUAUAAAGCCUAUUGUGAUACACAAUUCAAACACAGCUGUGAGGGUUCAGACUUUUCAGACUCAAAUUGCAUAAUUCAUAAAAAUCAUAAAACGGAGAGAGGGAGAGAGAAUGGAAGGACUCAAAUGUAAAAAUAAAGGGAGCCAGUGAUCAACGUUGGAAAGGAAAAGGUGGAGAUUCGUGGAUCAUGUGAAAUGUAUAACAAACUCCUGCGUGAUCUUAACUCCUCUUUGCAGGAGUCCUCACACUUUAUUAACCUCAAAAAAUAAACAAGAAAAGAAUAUAAAUACAAUUUGAGAUCUAGAAACGAGUAUUGAUAAAGUUGGAUGGUUUGAUAUGAUAGAGCAUAGUGAUGAUGGGUUUGGUCAUCUUCAUCCAGUACUUUGUUUCUUGUAUCAAUAGAAAAGAAAAAAGAUAAAGAGAGAUUGUUUAGAGUCUGUGACAGACAGCUUUAAUCAUGGUUUGGUCUGUAAUCCAGAAACUUCUGGUUCAAUCUCAAACAUAGCCAAACCUUGUUUGACUUUCACUAUAAUAGUUUUACAUGAACAAAGCUUGGUUUCUUAUUCUAACAUAUCUUCAUUCUCAAAGUAGUGUUUGAAUUUGAUUAAUAUUAUAAUUUAGAUAGAAAAAUGGGAAAGUGGGGUCAAGGGAAGGGACAGUGCGGAGGAAACCCAAGAGUGAAGAAAAGAGAUCGAGAAGAGGCAUUGGAGGAAGGAGUAAAAAGGAGGGGGGGGGGGAGUGUCGGUGAGAUUACAUAAGCCAUUGAGGAUGAGACAUCAAUCUCGGGCUUAUAAUGUCUGCCUUUCUCUGUAUCCAAUCAAACUCAAUGCUGGUUUUGUCCCAACUCAUCCCACUAGGACUUGGGUUUUCCCGUCCACUUGCCUUGGAUUCCACCUAUCCUACCCUUUUACCCUAUUAUUAUAUUUCAGUCUUAAAGCUCUAGCACACUGAUUUCCUUCAGUUUCUUUUGAUACUUGUCAAAGGAUAUCUGGCACACCGCUAAGAGUUUUUUUCUCCCUUUUUUUCGACUUUAAAUUAAUAUAUCAAACUCAUCUUACGAGAAAACUCUCAAAAGAUAUAAUUUCACGAAACAUACAAUAUCUGAUUCUACACAGCCACACCAAGAAAAAACUUCAAGUCAUUGUCUUGAAACUAACCAUCCUUAUCUAAACGAUCGGUUAAUCAAAGUUUCUAUUCAAUUUCAAUAUCUUAUAUAGGGUACCUUGGAGUUUGAACUCAUUUCCCUCAAAGUUUCUUUACAUGCUUUUACCUAUCUUUGCACAACAAUACCAAUAUAUAGUGGCUAUAGAAUCAAAAGUUAUGAAAUAUACCUUGUAUCUGCAUUCUAAUCAGAACCAUCUAAAUAUAGAUAAUUAGAACUUAGAUCAUCUAAACAGUAUUUUUCUUUUAAAAAAAGGUCACUCACCUCCAAUAGUUACUUGGUAUGUACUUAAGUAUUAAGAAAACAAACUAAACCACUUCUAGAUUGCUAAGUUUAAAAUAAUAUUAUCUUGAAAGUCUAAGAAAUUCAAACGAUUUGAUUUAUCAAUUUCCAUGAUUUCGAGCAAGGACUUCCAGUUCCGACAGGACCAAACUCUUGUUCUGUUAUUCACAUCCAAUUUCUAUUCCAGAUAACCAAGGGCAAAGGGCGUUUGAAAGGACAGUACAAGUGUCGUCAGGUUCUCUAAUCAAAGGGUUUAUUUUUGUUCUUGAACUUCGUAUCAUUCCUAAACACUGUUGAAAUUUUGAUAACUAGAGUCGGACUUUUGGUGACCAGGUACGCUCAACUCUUUGACGAACUGACAUUAUGAAGCUGAUUGGUAUUAUUCACAUGGGACUGUCAAAAUAGCUAAGUAAUAUUUUCUCUACCAAUACCGUUUCAGAACUGAGAGCUGGAAUAAGUUGGUGUGCGCUAUCUGUAUAACGCACUUGUACAAUGGAUGAUUGGAGAAGACGACCGUUAGUGUCAGAAUGUUAAUUGGGCGCUUCCCUAAGAGAGUCCCUCUAAAUUUCUUGUAUAUCUAGGUGAAAAGCAGAAUGAAAGUGUUGGAGUGUUGGUGGAUGGAUGUAGAUCUUUUACUUGAUUGAACUACUACAAGGUUGUGUGUUGUCUCAAUUCUUUUGGUUCUGAUCGUUGGUAUGCCGUUGAGUAAGUUGCUUUGUUUUAUGAAAUAAAUUGCUGAUAUUUGUGUACUACUGUUGUUUUCCAGAGGCUUCAGUUUUCAUCGAAUAAUAAUUACCGAAGUAUAAGCCACAAUAAUAUCUCUUUCAUGGAAGGACAUAGAUAUAGUACUGGAAACAGUUUAGCUCCAACUUCAUACAAGUCACGUGAUUAAAGUAAAGCCGUGCUAAAUGGCUCAUACUACUGAAUAAGACAGGAAAACAAAGUAGCUCACUUGGUGACUACGUUCUGUGUGGAGAGCUUUCUGUAUCAAUUAACCUUUGCUUCGAGAGAUUUUCAAUUGAAUCAGCAAUGACUUUAGCGCUAGAUUUCAUGUAACCGCCUGGGAGUGGAAUUAAUAAAAAAAACAUUACUCCAAGAGACUAGAAAGGAGUCAGCAAAAAAAAAUCAAAUGGAAGAUAAACUUGAUCGUUUGAAGAAGUAUAAAAUGGCAAAAGUAACCUGUUACCUGAGCAAUCCCUCAUCGUACCAUAAUGUUUCUAUUUCCUAACAAUCAUAAUGUUCAAGGUACAAAUUUAAAGACUUUUUCCCAUCAUCGAGAUAAAGUUUCACACUACCAAGAAAUAUUCUAUAGUUGGCAAGAAAAUAAUUAUCGUCGUUACUAUGCUAUAUUUAAGGCCUUGGUCAUUUAAAUUUCAAGAUACCACCCCAUGUGAAAAUGGUACAAUAAUGAAAUUAACUUUAACCAUGAGGGAUAAACGCACCCAAUAACAUUAAGAAUUGAAGUUGAAUGUAAAUGUGACAGAUAUAAAUCCGUUUUAAUAAGAAAGAUUGCUAAAUAAAAGAAAGGUAUGAAUAUUAUGUACAUAUGAAAUUUAGAAUGGUCCCCAUUAGAUAUUUUACCACAUGGUCAAAGAGUUAGAAGUUAGUAUUAAAUAAAAGGAUUGAUGGGUGUAUUUUUUUAUAUAUUACAAGAGAGAAAGGUCGAGCAUAAUAAAAAAGGUGCAUAUUCAAUAAACUUCAUUGACAUGUUCGUGUAAGGGAAAAGACCUGAUGUCAGCAUCACAAUGGGAAUGUUCCUUGCACGAGCAAAUCUGAAAACCUUUUCAUCUCUCUUAGCUAUUCCCUCAGCACUAAUCUGCAAUCAGUGUGUAAUCCACACCACAACCAACAAACUUUUUAACCAAACCAGAAAGCACGGAAGGAGAAAUCAAAUUCUUGAAAAACUAAUUUGGGGGGCACAGUUACCUUUAACAAGCCCAGUGGAUCUCCAUCUAGAAUAUCAGUCCCAGCAUUGUAAACAAUUAAUUCAGGAUCAUAUGAAGUGGCAGCAACCUACAAUUAACAUGGUGAAAAUAAGCAGAGAGUCGACGAAUAGAUAAAUCGGUCAUUCCCCAACAUUGCCAAAUGUUACAAACCCAGAUGCAGAGUGGGGAAGUAGACGAUUCUGUUGCAUAAAGUUUGAAACCGAAGGGUAAAAGGCUAUAAGAGAAGUUUCAAUAUUUGGGCACAGUGAAGAACAUAUUUUUGUUUAGUAAUGAUAAACCAAGCUUCCAUUGAGAAAAAAUGUAAGAAAUAAACAAAGGUAAUUGAUAAACAAUUAAACUAAAAAAAAUGAAUUUAAGAAAAGCUGCCUACCUCGAGUGCUUCAUCUAAUUUCUUCAAGUAUUCACUUGUUGUGGUCCCACUCUGCAUGAGAAAACAUAUCCAUGAACACCCGAGCAACAAGUGAAACAAACAGAAUCUAUUUCCAUAACAAGCUUUACUUACAACUACUUCAACUUUCUGAUCAAUGCAUCUUCUAGCCUCAUAAUCCUGAUAUACGCAUACAUAGAGAGAUAGAGAGAGAGAGUCACAAAACUUCUAUGCUCAAUCAAAAUGGUAAUAGUGACUUUGAAAAUGAGAUGGAAAUAGAAACUUGGCAACUCUUAAAAAAAACUAACAAGAGGGCAAACACAAAACAGCAGAAUCAAUAAUUUUCAUCCACCAUAGAAUAUAAGAGCAAAGUAACUUACAAAAGGAUAUAUUCCAGGAUUGAACAUAUCAAGAAUAUAUACUCGUCCUGCUAGCAUAGAUAAAACCGUCACCAGUCAAUGAGAGAGCCAAUUAAAAUCUAUUACUGGAAAAAAAAAAGUUGGCAUACUAUCAUGGGCAAAAUCCAUUUCAUGGCCAUUUCCUUGAUGGGCAUCAAGAUCAAUAAUCAUUGCCCUGCAAACAUAGAAUAUCACCAGGAUAAGGCUUUAUUACCACAGGUUCAUAAGUACUUGCUAUGCAACAAAAUUCAACAAUGCAUGAGUUCUUUUAGGUCACUAUGGUGCCAAUUUAUGUACAGCAUACUUUGAUAUGUUAAGCUGAACGAAGGCAUAGUGUAUACACAGAGAAAUAUCUGCGUACACACAAAAUCCUCCUCCUCGUUCUGCUGAGCAAUGGUGAAAACCACCUCCUACAUUGAUGGCCCAUCCUUUCUCUUUUGCUACUUUUCCAGCUAAUAUGCUGCCUCCAACCUGCAGCAGGAUACAACAUUUACGACCCAUACUAAAUUUGUCAUGAAAGAAGAGAGAGGAAAAUAAUUUGAGAUGAACCCUAUAAUUCACCUGAUUACGAAAUGGACGUUGAACUUUCUCCUUGACAACACAAUGAGGAAACAAUGCAACAGGAGGGACCUAUAUUGUAGUAGUGCAAAUCUAUCAAAACUGAAAAGACUACAACCAACAAUUGAAUCUAGGAAAGGGAAAAUUUAAACAACUCAACGCAUAUUCAACCACUUAAAAAUAAAACAUCUGAGGCUUUCAUAUAUUACAAUUCUCACCAUGUCUUCUGAAAAAGGGACUUCAACUUAAAAUUCUAAAUAAGUAUGCCAACGGAAGUUCCACUCCCGAAAAGAAACGAGUAACUAGUAACCAUCACGGAGGAUAAUGUUUAAUAAAACCAAAUUAUAGCACAAAAGCAACAAGAUGACUCACAAAGCAAGAGGAUAUGAUGCAAUACCUCAAUAAUCUUAGCAACAUUUGAACUGUUCUUCAGACUAUUCAAGUAUGAUUCCGGAUGUACCUGGUCAAACAUUACAAAGAUAGGUCUUUGAAUUAUACUUCAAAUAAGCAGUUGCAAUUCAGGUUCGUGAUUUUUACAAUUUGAGAUUUUGUGGAAGAGCGCGAAUGUACCAAUCUACUCGUAGCACGUGCGUAUAAAGUUCACAACAAAAAGGUAGAACCUAAAAACGCACCACAAGAAGAUCAUUCUUCUUAGCUUCCAAAGGCUUGAUAAUUUGAUCUUUCCUUAAAACUCCAGCGGCAAUAAGGAAUUGGCAUACACGACCCCAUUUCUUUGAAUCAAAUGGAUGCCUAAUGACAAGAUUUCCAAGUAAAAACUAACCAACUUAAAAAAAAAAAAAAAAAUUAGAAGCCGGCAACUAAAAUUAUUAAGAAAACCGAACGGGAUUCAAACACAGGAAAGAAUAACGCGCCAGUUACUCACAACUUCUCUAUUCCAAGAAAUGAGAUGUCAUACGAUGACGAAUAUAUCACCGGAACCUGUUUUUCAACAAAACCCAGAAACAUACUUGAGUACAGGCGACCAGGAGUCAGCUUAAAUGCACACUGAGUUUAACCAAAAUUCUGGUCCAGUACCUUUGAAGAAGGAACAUCAAAAUACAGCUUGCUGGAGAGAAUUCGGUCCCUUCGGACAGCUUCCCCAUCGUUCGCAUCCGGAGACAGCGAAGAGGACAUGCCCCGAGUGAAGAAAUUGGAAUAGCAGAAAAGAGAGCGAAAGAAUGGCCGAGAGAGCUCGAUUGUGGGCACGGUUGAAAAGGAGUGAAUGAUCAGCUGCGUGAGUUCGUGGGUGGGUCGAUUAGAGUUGAGAAUCCGGGGCGGUGAAUCGGUAUGACUCGGGACCGUUAACUUGGAUUUGCUCGAACCAAGUAUAGAUUGGGUCCAUUCGGAUACAGAAUUUUCUUUGGAAUUUUCGAGGCGAAAUCAGCUGCAAUUGGGAUAUUCAAUCGGUCAGAGGGAUAGGACAUUUUUGCCGGUGACCAAUCGGACAGUUACCGGUCAUCUGUUGCCACGAGACUAUGGACUAUGCAUUUGACAUUCCACGCUUAUAUUUUUCGCUUAUUUAAUUUCUCAAAACUAAUUUUAUAUUUAAUAUUAUACUUUCAAUUGCAAUUUAAUAUUUAAUAUUAUACUUUCAAUUACCAUUUUUAUACUGUGAUAAAAUACAUCAUUGAAGAUUCAAAACAAAGAAAGGCGCCUGACCAUAAGGGAGUUGUGACCACAAGAGAGUUUUAGGAACAAAGACCCCUAGUUAAGAAAUGAAUGAAAAAGUGUCUAAAUAAGGAUAUUGUUGCAUUUAAACAUCAUGAGUAUAUUCGUUGUGUUCGUUGAACAUAAAGAACACAAGCACACAAUAAAGAAAUGAGUGACACUCCAAUGUGUGAAAACACUUGUAUUAUUUUGUUUGAAUGCAAACACGAUCGCAAGAGAAGAAUGAUGAACAUAUGUACAAAAGGGAGAAUCCUAACUAAAUCAUUCUCAAUCUUCUAAAACAAGUAGUCCUUUAAAAAUCAAACUUGUAAAAACUAGACAAGUUUCUAUAAUUUGUAAAUUCAUGUUUAAAAAAUGUUUUUGUUUUUAUUGUUUAGUUAACUAGGAAUUCAAGUGUUACCCCAAUAGAAAAACUGAGAAUAGCCCAACAUAAAGAAAACAAAAAAAUUUGUUAUCAACCUCGAUGCUGAAGCUUUCAAAAUAAUCAAAACAGUGUCUCAAUGUUGAAGUCCAAAGUUCAACAGUAUGAACAUUUUCUCUCUAAGUUGCAAACAAGAAUGGAUAGAGCGCCAUCACUCAGCUGAUUCUCAACUACAAAUGUUCAUCCAAAUCUAACAUUCCAACAGGCUUUUUAUACAAUAAGUACCCAGAACAAACCAACCAACCAAAAGGAGAGAAAGCGACAACAGACCAAUCAAGAAUGGCCAUCCAACCAUGGCAAUGCCCAGGCAGACCACCACUACAAAGGGAAGAAAUGAUCUUACAAUUGACAUUCCAUCUACCCAAUGCCCCUUGAACAGAAUUAGAGCUGCUACAUUUAUCAUGUUCCAACUCAUCGAUCCAUCAUAGCAAAGACGGUUCAGACAAUUGGCAAUAAAGGAAUGGCAGUUGCACGUAAAAAGGUUGUACGAUUUAUGCUCAAAAUACCGUGUACUUGAUUGUAAGCCAUCGUCCCAAGUAAUGGCAGUUCCAUACUGUGAAUGCUGGUAGCCCUGCUUACAUUUAUGUGCAGCUAAGCUCGUUGGGAAGCAACACUGAAAAAAACAUAAGGUUUCAAUACAUUGUUAACGAUCCAUCAAAGAAUUUUACACUGUUUACAGAGAAAAAAUAACUAGUAAGAAGAUGGCAUUAAAACCAAGGAAGAUACCUAACAUGGAAACAGAAAAUGGUUUCAGCAAGAAACGCACAUAAGUUCCGUUAAACUUACAUGAGUGAAAUUUAUGCACUUCAAUCAGCAUUGUUAGGAAACAGGGAUUAAUUUCAUGAAAUAUUUAUGUAAACCGAUUACUAUUAACUUACUUUUUCUCGGUUGAGUUGAUGGUAUCUUGCAACAGAGCCAAAUGCUAAAUCAUUAAUAUUCACAAAAUUCGAUCCUGCAAAAUCUAAAGUGACUCCAUCCUCCCUGCAAAUCCCAACAUGACCAAUGAAAGGUGCCAACCAAGAGACAACAGGAAGAGGUGUCCAAACCAAACAGCAUGGAAACUUUGCUUGACCAGGGUCAAUGGGAUCUAGAGGCCAAAAUUCAUGUUUUAUACUCUCUGUAGAACUGAUAAGUUCGACAUCAUAACCUGCUUGCGGCUUCAUUUUAGAAUACCUUCCAGGUAGCAUAUAGAAGCUUUGUUAAUAAUUGGAAAAGAAGCAUCACGCUGUCAAACCACACACUGGCAUAAACUGAAUUUGCUCGCAGCUAAAGAAAAGUAGAAAACAACCAAAUCUGCAAUUGCUUCAUCAUUAUGGAUGCAGGGUUCAGAGAAGUAAUCUGUUACAACCCCAAGACUUUCUCAAAAGGAUGAACAAACAAGAGUAUCUAAAGGCAAGCAAAAAUCAAAGUUGAGAGUAAUUAUUCAAGAACAUUACAACUAUCAGUUGUCAGUCUAAAGUAUUGACAGACAUAAGCCAUUUCAAAAUUUAAUAAAAAAAUUCCAAUAUCUAGAUCCAAUGGCAAUGUAAUCAACCUUCCAUUAAGAAAAACUACACAAAACAACUAGGCGACGAAGAAAAUCAAGAAAAGACAUGUUACCAAUAGUUUCAGUAUAAAGUUCCGUGGCUAAUCAAAUAUCAGAGUUUCAUUUUUAAAAAAUUAAUCAGGUCAAGAAUCUAAGAUAAGAUUAUCCUGUAUCAAGCGCCAACCAUUUGAAGACACACAACAUUUGUUUUUUAAUUCUCUAACCCCAGCUAACUUCAAUUUAAUAUUACAUAUCAUUCCAAAAAUUAUUAUCCGCCAACUUCUGGAUUUGAGAUUACCCCAGAGAUCGACGAAAAAACCCUUGUCGCCAAAUCCCACAAUACAAUUACAAAACUUCCCCAUCUAUUAAACACAUAUCAUUUCACGAUCUAACGAUGGUUGGUCAACCGAUUUCAAAAUCAGUCAACAACGAAAAACUUAUCCAUUAUCGACUUUGAUCUCUAGCCCCAUCGGAUAAAAUCUAAAUUCCUGCCAUCUGAAUCUUCUCACGCCCCUAAAUCAAAGAUUUUUCUUAAGCAGUACCCAGCAUUCUGAGAUGGAAACCCAGGAAUUAAAAUCGGAGGGCAACCCACGAAUUAAAAAAGAUCCGAAAAACACGUAAUCAUCACAGCCUUUUUUGUUAUACCCAAAAUAGAAGUGGCAGAAAAGUGCAAAACUACUAAAUUUAGAAGGGAGAAGAAACUCAAUUUCUCAGACUGCUCAGUCAGACACAGAAAGAUGAUGGAAAAAAAUCCCUCAAGAUUUGAGGUAAUUAGAAGAAAAUAAAUAAUACAUUGAGAAGAAGAAGGGAAGGAAACAAAAGAAAUUUUAAAAAGGAAGAAGGAGUUGGUUGAAAGGAAAGACAUGAAGGUGGAAACUCACCGGUAAUGGGCAGUAGAAGAAAGCGGGAGAUUCAGAAGAUUGUUGAUGGAUAGGAAUUGAAUCCCGGCAUGAUGGGUACAAUUUAUUCGGAAAUCAGAGAGGGAAAUUAUUGAAGAUUAUGAUAAAUUAUCAAUAUGUUGAAGAAAUGAGAAAUGGAAACUACUACUGUUUUUUACUUUAUUUCUCUUUUUGUGAUUGCCCUGCCAGGAAGAGAAGGCGGUUGGGUUGAAGAGUUGAAGCGGCAGAUGCAUGAACCCAUUUUUUUAUUUUACCCUUUUUUUUUCUUCCUAUUCCCCCAUGUGGGACCCAUUCUCCAUAAUAUCUAACCUUUUUCUUUUCUUUUCUUUCUUUUUCCUUCAACUUAUAAUAUGAAUAAAAUAUUUCUAUUAGUACAACAGUUUCAAUCGGAUUAAUUCAAACAUGUGUUUUUAUUACAUUAGAAUUCUAAUUUCAUUUCAUUACGGAUCAUCAAAUACCAUUUUUAAAAUAUAUAUUUUAUCGGUACUACUUUUUAUAUAUUUUUUAAAUUUAUAUAGUUUGUUUACAUUUGUUUGUACAUGUUAAUAUUUAGCUUUUUUAUAUCAUUUAUUUAUAUUUUUCAGUGUUCCUAGAUGAUGAUUAAACCUAAUUUUGACUACAUGUUAAAGUAAAUGGAAAAUUGAAAUCUAUUGGAAGGCGUGAAUGAUUCUAACUUGUAUUCCUUUUUUAACCACAACUACAUAACAAAAGCAAACAAAUUACAAGUGACAGUGAGAAAGCCAACUGAAAACCAUGCACAUUUGAAUUCAUUCAGAGCUUGGCACCCCCGGAAAGUGGGCUGCAAAAUGUGCUUUCCUAGCACAUAACUCAAGUCCAUAACAAUGAUACAUAACCACUAGGUGAUGGGAACAGAUUAGUUUGGAAUGGAUAGCUUCAACCAGUAUCUGACAAUCAAAUUCCACCCAAAAAGGAGAAAGACCAUUUUUGAAUAAGCCUUCUUCAAACCAAUGAGAAUAGCCUUAGCCAUAGCUUCAGCAAAUAACACAUCUAUUCCACUUUCCAAAACCUCCACAAAUGUCAUAAUCAACCUCUCCUACUAAUGCCAGCCACACCCAAUUUUGAACCAUCAGCCUUACUGGAUGUGUCACAAUUAAGCUUCAACCUACGAACACUGCAGUUGCCUUCCACUUCACACCAGAUCGGCAACCCACCUCCCAAUUCCUCACCACCAGCAUCGGCCCUAAUGUAAAUAUGAGCCAACGGAGUCCACCACAGCCAUAGAAAAAUGAGAUUCAACUAGCUUUAAUCUUUAUAACUAUGAUGCAAUUUUGUAGUUCCAAUUUAAAAUGAAUUCACCUGUCAAUGUUUUCGAUUACUCCGAUAACCAACUUUAAAAACUACCAGUAACGUAGACCUGAGUGUUUUUAUUUCAAGUUGUUUUUAUAGAAAGUGUUUAAACGAAAAUAGUUUUUGAAAAAUAUUUUUUUUAUCUCGGUUGUCAAAUUCUUAUGCUAAUUAAUUUUCUCAUUGACCAAAUACAAAAAAAAAAAAAAAAGACUCUUAGAAGCAUAAAAUCACAAAGUAUCACAAUCAAAAUAUAUAAAAAAG
This 44340-nucleotide long non-coding RNA is filed under the name Cucumis sativus (cucumber). Its description in RNAcentral is "long non-coding RNA (CSAT_LNC001717)". The record is from RNAcentral. Lineage: Eukaryota; Viridiplantae; Streptophyta; Magnoliopsida; Cucurbitales; Cucurbitaceae.